UGAUGUUAUGUGUAUGAUUGAGUAUAAGAACUUCAACCGUAAAUGGGUCUUAAAAGCCUAAGCAGUGUUUCCUUGUUAGAAGAUACAAAGCCAAAGGCUCAUACGGACUUCAUCUACACCAUCAAAGCUUUGAGAAGCCAGAAGAAGCAUGGUUAGUAUUUUAGAGUCAAAUAUGACUUGAUGUCAUGUGUAUGAUUGAGUAUAAGAACAAGAACUCCUAUUGG
This 224-nucleotide small RNA is filed under the name Arabidopsis thaliana (thale cress). Its description in RNAcentral is "ATSL268330". The record is from RNAcentral. Lineage: Eukaryota; Viridiplantae; Streptophyta; Magnoliopsida; Brassicales; Brassicaceae.